GGAAUUUUUCCAGCUUCUGCUCCUCUGUUGUGCUGUGUCAACCACCAAGUUGUGCCAGCUGAGAAUUGUGGUCUCAGGUCUCCAUCCAGAUCUUUGGUUGUGUGGCCACAUGGAUUCAGGCAGCUGAACUUGAGCAUGGAGGCACAGGCUUUCCCUCUAAGGGUCUCAGGAAGACCACCAAACAUCAGGGGAAACCGAGGCUGAGGUCUACAUGCAACAGUGUUUGAAGAGCAUGAGAACACACUGAGACCAGCAGAAAGGAGCCCUCUCUGAACCGCUUCAUUACAUCUGUACCUCAAACCUAAUGAAGAGGAAUGCUGAUCCAGUUGGUGGGACUCACAUGGACUGAACUUUAAGAAUCAUAUUCAUUGAAAUUUGAGCAAAUUACCAGUAGAUGAUGGCCUUGCGACUUUUCCACAGG
Piliocolobus tephrosceles (Ugandan red Colobus) is the source of this 421-nucleotide long non-coding RNA. RefSeq lists it as uncharacterized. NCBI's taxonomy places the organism in Eukaryota, Metazoa, Chordata, Mammalia, Primates, Cercopithecidae. The record is from RefSeq and is a predicted model, not a curated record. The transcript is spliced from 3 exons.